GAUGAAGAACGCAGCGAAAUGCGAUAAGUAGUGUGAAUUGCAGAAUUCAGUGAAUCAUCGAAUCUUUGAACGCAUCUUGCGCUCCUUGGUAUUCUGAGGAGCAUGCCUGUUUGAGUGUCAUUAAAUUCUCAACUACACUGACUUUGAAUUGGUGUGGCUUGGAUUUGGGGGGAAAAUUGUUGUGGGCUUUUUGUAUAGUCUGCUCCCCUGAAAUUGAUUAGCGGUACCUUUGUGGAACUGUCUACAGGUGUGAUAAUUAUCUACAUCUUAGACAUCUGCUGGAAUGCUGCUUUCUAAACCUUACUUGUAUUGACAAUCUUGACCUCAAAUCAGGUAGGACUACCCGCUGAACUUAAGCAUAUCAAUAAGCGGAGGA
Molecule: unclassified non-coding RNA, 376 nt
Filed under: soil metagenome
Description: partial contains 5.8S ribosomal RNA, internal transcribed spacer 2, and large subunit ribosomal RNA
Rfam family: 5.8S ribosomal RNA (bases 1-120)
Source: RNAcentral